This 425-nucleotide ribosomal RNA is filed under the name Conus pennaceus. RNAcentral's name for it is "partial 12S ribosomal RNA". It matches the Rfam family "Microsporidia small subunit ribosomal RNA", at positions 652 to 1214 of the family's 1311-position model. Lineage: Eukaryota; Metazoa; Mollusca; Gastropoda; Neogastropoda; Conidae. The record is from RNAcentral.
AAACUGGGAUUAGAUACCCCACUAUUUUUAGUUGUAAAUUUAGUUUAGACUUACCGGAGUACUACGAAUAAAAAGUUUAAAACUCAAAGGGCUUGGCGGUGUUUUAGACCUCUCAGGGGAACCUGUCUCGUAAUCGACAAUCCGCGUUAAACCUAACCUUUUAUAGCAAUACAGCCUGUAUACCGUCGUCGUCAGGUAACUUCUUAAAAUAUAGUAGUUAGCCCGAGAAUCAGACUAAUUAAAACGUCAGAUCAAGGUGCAGCUAAUAAAAAGGUGAGGAUGGGUUACAAUUACAUAUUUGUAAUUACGGAAAAAUAUUUGAAAUGAAGUAUUUUAAAGGAGGACUUGAAAGUAAUUUUAAUAAUAUAAAUAGAAUGAAUAGGGCUCUGAAACGUGCACACACCGCCCGUCACCCUCUGCAGUCA